Molecule: ribosomal RNA, 274 nt
Filed under: uncultured bacterium
Lineage: Bacteria
Description: partial 16S ribosomal RNA
Rfam family: Bacterial small subunit ribosomal RNA
Source: RNAcentral
AAACUCAAAGGAAUUGACGGGGGCCCGCACAAGCGGCGGAGCAUGUGGAUUAAUUCGAUGCAACGCGAAGAACCUUACCUGGGCUUGACAUAUACAGGAUUGGGCUAGAGAUAGUCUUUCCCUUGUGGUCUGUAUACAGGUGGUGCAUGGUUGUCGUCAGCUCGUGUCGUGAGAUGUUGGGUUAAGUCCCGUAACGAGCGCAACCCUUGUCUUAUGUUGCCAGCACAUUAUGGUGGGGACUCAUGAGAGACUGCCGGGGUCAACUCGGAGGAAG